This is a long non-coding RNA of Lolium rigidum, 1764 nucleotides long. RefSeq lists it as uncharacterized. The record is from RefSeq and is a predicted model, not a curated record. The transcript is spliced from 3 exons. NCBI's taxonomy places the organism in Eukaryota, Viridiplantae, Streptophyta, Magnoliopsida, Poales, Poaceae.
GCUCCAUCCUGGCCCUUCUCUCUUCCUCCCUGUCACAGCAGCAGCGUCCUGACCACUGGCGCGCGUGCGCGCCAUGGACGUCGUGGCGUGGAGCUUGUUCUCGUCGUCGCGUGGCUUCCUUGUUGCCUCCUUUCUGCGUGCUCUAACACGAUCUGGUUCGAGCGCGUCUUGGCGCAGUUUGUUCGCAACAUGGACAGGCCGGGUCUUCAACCUUUGGUCGUCAGUUUCGCUCGCGUCCCAUGGCCUCCUAUGCUUGUUCAAAUAACAACGACCUUUCCCCUCUACAGGAAUCAACAACAGUUCAUCACGUCUGUUUCUGCGUCUCCUGCUACCAUCUUGUCUGUCUUUUUUAUCUCUGCAAUCUCACGCCAUAUAUAUUCAGAUAGGCUGCGCCUCCAACUUGUAUCAACAUGUGAAGAGUAGCUCAGGUAAUUGGACCCUUUUGUUGUUAAUCUUGUGAUCCAUUGUUCAAAUACAUUUCCCUGCAAAUAAAUUCAGUAUUUGACUCAGAUGUCACGUCGCGCCCUUCCUGUUUCAUAAGGACGCAUCCAAUCUUUUCCCUCUCUGUCCACUCCCCAUUAUUUCAAUUAUGCAAAUUAUGUUUGUUUCUCUAUUUUCCAAACUAUUGCUCCAAAUAAAAUGUUUUAUAUAUGAAAGUUUAUUAGAAAAAUGUAAAGAAUCUAAAUAUGUCAUUCAUAUUUCCGGUUUGCAUCUCACAUCAUAUUGUACCGUAUUAGUUUGCAUCACAUCUAAUACAUAAUAUGCGGAGUAUUUUGGAAUUUAUUGACUAGGGUUUUUCCCGCUCCGUUUAAUUUUGAUGUAGCGCACCCCCUGCCUUGAUAUGCCAUGCUAUCCAACCCUUAACUUUGUAAGUAGAAAUGCAACUCCAACCUUAAUUGUUUGUCCAGGUUUCCGAUCCCGCUUAAAUUAGAUAAGUGCAUCGCAUCAUAAUUGCAGGGACGGAUUUACCGUCCGGGCACUCUGGGCACGUGCCCGGCCUCGACCCCGGCGCGUACAGGCACUCCGACGAUCUCUCCGUCCGACCUAUGGAGCUGGAACAACGAUAUUUAGAUGGAAAACACGAUGAAAAUCACCUAUAUCGUCGAAACUAAGCCAGCUUGGGCCUUGCUUGUUCCGCAGCACGAAAUAGAUUCGGCCCAUUACAUUCCAAUGUCCCUACGUGGGCUGGUCAGUGGUCAGCACGUUCGAUCGCUGUAUUGAUCGGUUCGUCUCCAGACUCUGUCUGUAGACUCCCGUCGUUCUCGCGAGCUGAAACCGACGGGAUGAUGCUAUUGUUAGACGCUUUCAAGCCAUGAAGAAACGGAAAGAACAACUUCCCAGGCCUAAUUAGCACAUUAUUGAUUCUUAUUGGAUGUGCGCAGUACUUGGAUGUGCGCCUUAGGUUGAACAAUAGAAUUAGCAUAUUGGACUUCUAUUCUCAAAUCGUCCGUAGCCGAUAGAAGAGAAGUAAAGAGUAAACAGGAGAGUAACUGAAGAAAUGAAUGCAAGCCUCUUGACUUAUCAGUAAUGAUUAGGAAGAAAGAAGCUGUCAAGAGCUUUGACUUUCAUUGCAUUGCCAGUAGCGGAUGCUCUCAUGAAAAAUGAACUACCAAUUGCCAAAUAUUUUCAAUCUUCUUCCAUCCAACAAACUUGUUCAAUUCAUUUUCUUGAGAUCUGUGAAAUAGUGAUAUUAUACUUGUUGGAUAGAGGGAGUAUACUUUAUUAUUAUUAUGUUUUUUUGGAUAAAGUAUUAUUAUUAUGUUU